Molecule: non-coding RNA, 72 nt
Organism: Podarcis lilfordi (Lilford's wall lizard)
Lineage: Eukaryota; Metazoa; Chordata; Lepidosauria; Squamata; Lacertidae
Source: the annotation of a GenBank genome assembly
GGGGCCUUAGCUUAGUGGUAGAGCACAUGAUUUACAUGCAGGAAGUCCCAGGUUAAAGUCCUGCCAUCCUUA